Molecule: ribosomal RNA, 492 nt
Filed under: uncultured bacterium
Lineage: Bacteria
Description: partial 16S ribosomal RNA
Rfam family: Bacterial small subunit ribosomal RNA
Source: RNAcentral
AGUGAACGCUGGCGGUAGGCCUAACACAUGCCAGUCGAACGGCAGCACAGUAAGAGCUUGCCCUUACGGGUGGCGAGUGGCGGACGGGUGAGGAAUACAUCGGAAUCUACUUUUUCGUGGGGGAUAACGUAGGGAAACUUACGCUAAUACCGCAUACGACCUACGGGUAAAGGCAGGGGAUCUUCGGACCUUGCGCGAUUGAAUGAGCCGAUGUCGGAUUAGCUAGUUGGCGGGGUAAAGGCCCACCAAGGCGACGAUCCGUAGCUGGUCUGAGAGGAUGAUCAGCCACACUGGAACUGAGACACGGUCCAGACUCCUACGGGAGGCAGCAGUGGGGAAUAUUGGACAAUGGGCGCAAGCCUGAUCCAGCCAUACCGCGUGGGUGAAGAAGGCCUUCGGGUUGUAAAGCCCUUUUGUUGGGAAAGAAAAGCAGCAGGUUAAUACCCCGCUGUUCUGACGGUACCCAAAGAAUAAGCACCGGCUAACUUCGUG